This 66-nucleotide transfer RNA is filed under the name Cherax destructor. RNAcentral describes it as "tRNA-Tyr". The record is from RNAcentral. Lineage: Eukaryota; Metazoa; Arthropoda; Malacostraca; Decapoda; Parastacidae.
AUAAGGUGGCUGAGAUGAAGGCGUUAGAUUGUAAAUCUAAAUAGGGGCGUAGAGCUUUCUUAUUAG